This 725-nucleotide long non-coding RNA is filed under the name Brassica rapa (field mustard). RNAcentral's name for it is "long non-coding RNA (BRAP_LNC000412)". Lineage: Eukaryota; Viridiplantae; Streptophyta; Magnoliopsida; Brassicales; Brassicaceae. The record is from RNAcentral.
UUGGAUCUCCCAAGUUUGUAUGAAUUUGGUUAUGAUGUACAAAAAACUAAAAAUAUUCAAAUAGCGAAUGUAUUUGAAAAUGAUAUAGAUAUUUGAACCAAAAAUAAUCAUAUUAUUUGAAUACAAUUAGCUAUAUGGAGAUUUAUCUAAAAUAUAUAGCACUAAUUAUGAAAAAAAAAUAUCAAUGUAUAAAUACUUAAAAACUAAUACAUUCGCGGACGUGCGAGUCAAUCUCUAGUUCUUCAUUAAGUGGCAAAAAUUUUUUAUACCUUUGUUCUUUAUAUAUAUAAUAAAUAAAUAUUUAAACAAAUAAAAUAUCUAAAAAAAAAAAAAAAAAAAUUUCAACCUUUUUUCGUAUUAUACUAUUUCGAAAUUCAAACCCAAAACUCUAAAACUCAACUCUAAACCCUAAACCAUCAAUUUUAAACCCUAUUUUUUUUUUUGAAAUACGAACCCUAAACCCUGAAAUAUUAACUCUAAUAAACCCCAAAAUAUCAUCUCUAAACCCUAAACCCUAAACCUUCGACUCUAAACCUAAAAACAUAAACUAUAAACCCUAAACCCUAAACAAUAACUCUAAACCCUAAACUAUCAACACUAAACCCUAAGCUAUCAACAGUAAACCCUAAACCCACAAAUUAAACUCUAAACCCUAAAAAUUAACCCUAAACCCUAAAAUAUCAACUUUAAACCCUAAAUCCUAAAACAUAAACUCUAAACCCUAG